Molecule: ribosomal RNA, 492 nt
Filed under: uncultured bacterium
Lineage: Bacteria
Description: partial 16S ribosomal RNA
Rfam family: Bacterial small subunit ribosomal RNA
Source: RNAcentral
AGUGAACGCUGGCGGUAGGCCUAACACAUGCAAGUCGAACGGCAGCACAGUAAGAGCUUGCUCUUACGGGUGGCGAGUGGCGGACGGGUGAGGAAUACAUCGGAAUCUACUUUUUCGUAGGGGAUAACGUAGGGAAACUUACGCUAAUACCGCAUACGACCUACGGGUGAAAGCAGGGGAUCUUCGGACCUUGCGCGAUUGAAUGAGCCGAUGUCGGAUUAGCUAGUUGGCGGGGUAAAGGCCCACCAAGGCGACGAUCCGUAGCUGGUCUGAGAGGAUGAUCAGCCACACUGGAACUGAGACACGGUCCAGACUCCUACGGGAGGCAGCAGUGGGGAAUAUUGGACAAUGGGCGCAAGCCUGAUCCAGCCAUACCGCGUGGGAGAAGAAGGCCUUCGGGUUGUAAAGCCCUUUUGUUGGGAAAGAAAAGCAGUAGGUUAAUACCCCGCUGUUCUGACGGUACCCAAAGAAUAAGCACCGGCUAACUUCGUG